AAACUUUCUUAGAAAACAUCUUUGCUGGAAACAGCUGAAGGAAAAAUAGUAGAACUCAUGAAAAAGGUUCAUGAACAACAAAAGCUGAUACAGAAAUUAGAAGAUGAUAUAUUGAAGGGGUAUAGUUCCAAAGAAAGGAAAGGGACUCUCUUUGAUGAUUGGGAUCUUUCUAAGAGUGGAGGGAAUGAAAUUUCUGAGAACACAGAUCACAAACAAGUUUCCUCAGAUCAAGAGCAAAGCUCAAUGCUGAAGGUGAUAUGCAAUCAGCGUGAUUGAUUUAGGGCACGGUUGCGGGAAACUGAGGAAGAAAUAUGGCACUUAAAGGAGAAGAUAGGGGAGCUAACAACAGAACUGGAGAAAACAAAAGCUGAUAAUGUUAAACUUUAUGGAAAGAUUCGCUAUGUUCAGGAUUAUAACCAUGAGAAAGUAAUUUCUAGAGGAUCAAAGAAGGAGAGGGAUCAAAGAUACAAGGAGUUGGGCUUCAGAGACAUUCACACUCGGCAGCGGACGUUUUCUUCUGGGAAACAAGUAUGCUCGAACAUUUGCAUUUUUCUACACAAUUGGUUUGCAUAUACUAGUCUUUACCUGCCUAUACCGAGUGUCGGCUCUAAGUUACCUCAGCCAUGGCUCUGAGGAACCCCUCGUUGUCGAAAAAAACCUGAACCUCCCGCGCAGACAUUAGCGUGGUCAACCGUUGCCAUUUCUGCAUUUAUACUUUUGUUAUUGUGAGAAGAAUACGGCAUUGACAUACUUAAUAAACUGUACAUGUAACAGAAUGGUGUUAUGGUCCAAAUCAAAUAGUUGAUAGUCG
Hibiscus syriacus is the source of this 811-nucleotide RNA transcript. It is a transcript of the gene named protein CASP-like, with no coding region annotated. The transcript has 7 exons. NCBI's taxonomy places the organism in Eukaryota, Viridiplantae, Streptophyta, Magnoliopsida, Malvales, Malvaceae. The record is from RefSeq and is a predicted model, not a curated record.